ACCUUUGUAACUACAAGCAGAAAAUGAAGAAGGAGAAUGAGAUGAAAAAGGAGACCAGCAGAAGUGGUAACAACCUUCACAAUUUACAACAAAAGAACUUGAAACCAACGACAAUGAUGACUGAGAGGUGAAGGCUUGAGAGUGGUUUGGACAUGACGAUGGAGGCAACAGUGAUGACGACAACAACAACAACAACAAGAGGCUAGGGCUUGAGAGGUUUGGGCACAAAAGAAAGACCGUGUGAGAGGUUUGGGCGUGAGAGCUUGAAUGUGAGCAAAACUGAACACUUGACAUUUAGGGUCAUUUAACAUUGAUUCCCUUAAAAUCGAUAUUAACAAUUUUUAGUUAUUAACA
RNAcentral lists this long non-coding RNA (354 nucleotides) under Glycine max (soybean). RNAcentral's name for it is "long non-coding RNA (GMAX_LNC002519)". Lineage: Eukaryota; Viridiplantae; Streptophyta; Magnoliopsida; Fabales; Fabaceae. The record is from RNAcentral.